AGAGUUUGAUCCUGGCUCAGAGCGAACGCUGGCGGCAGGCCUAACACAUGCAAGUCGAGCGGGCACCUUCGGGUGUCAGCGGCAGACGGGUGAGUAACACGUGGGAACGUGCCCUUUGGUUCGGAACAACUCCGGGAAACUGGAGCUAAUACCGGAUAAGCCCUUCGGGGGAAAGAUUUAUCGCCAAAGGAUCGGCCCGCGUCUGAUUAGCUAGUUGGUGAGGUAAUGGCUCACCAAGGCGACGAUCAGUAGCUGGUCUGAGAGGAUGAUCAGCCACACUGGGACUGAGACACGGCCCAGACUCCUACGGGAGGCAGCAGUGGGGAAUAUUGGACAAUGGGCGCAAGCCUGAUCCAGCCAUGCCGCGUGAGUGAUGAAGGCCCUAGGGUUGUAAAGCUCUUUUAGCGGGGAAGAUAAUGACGGUACCCGCAGAAUAAGCCCCGGCUAACUUCGUGCCAGCAGCCGCGGUAAUACGAAGGGGGCUAGCGUUGCUCGGAAUCACUGGGCGUAAAGGGCGCGUAGGCGGCCAUUCAAGUCGGGGGUGAAAGCCCAGGGCUCAACCCUGGAAUUGCCUUCGAUACUGUUUGGCUAGAGACCGGAAGAGGUUAGUGGAACUGCGAGUGUAGAGGUGAAAUUCGUAGAUAUUCGCAAGAACACCAGUGGCGAAGGCGGCUAACUGGUCCGGUUCUGACGCUGAGGCGCGAAAGCGUGGGGAGCAAACAGGAUUAGAUACCCCAGUAGUCC
RNAcentral lists this ribosomal RNA (744 nucleotides) under uncultured Hyphomicrobiales bacterium. RNAcentral's name for it is "bacterial SSU rRNA". It matches the Rfam family "Bacterial small subunit ribosomal RNA", at positions 8 to 796 of the family's 1533-position model. Lineage: Bacteria; Pseudomonadati; Pseudomonadota; Alphaproteobacteria; Hyphomicrobiales. The record is from RNAcentral.